This 151-nucleotide ribosomal RNA is filed under the name Lambertella subrenispora. RNAcentral describes it as "ITS2 ribosomal RNA". The record is from RNAcentral. Lineage: Eukaryota; Fungi; Ascomycota; Leotiomycetes; Helotiales; Rutstroemiaceae.
CAACACUCAAGCUCUGCUUGGUAUUGGGCUUCAUACCAGUAAAAUGGUAGGCCUCAAAGUCAGUGGCGGUGCGUUGGGUUCUGAACGUAGUAAUAUAUUUCGUUACAGAUAUCCAGCGCGCUUCUGCCAUUAAACCCCAAUUUCUAGGUNC